CAAAAUAUGAGGUACUAACGGACAUGAGCAUGCCAGUACUUUAACAUCAGCCGCAGAUCAAUGACUGUCGGAGGCGUCGUUUACUCGCUGGGCCGGUCCGUUCCCGUCAUCCAUCAGCGUGUGGAUUUUAACUAAAGAACGAUGGCCUGAUGCCUGAUGUUUACGCCGCUCGUUCCAGCUUUCCACUAACUCUCGCCGACUUUAAAUGAAAGCCCAUAUUCACAGACAGCUCAACAUGUCUUUCUGUCAAGAGCCGCAUAUGAGAUUGAACCCGGGUGCCAUCAGUGAUGUCAGGACCUCUUUUUCCAGCAGCUCAUGAUUCAAAAAGACCUGUAUGUGCAGAAAUGAGUGUCUGAAGAUCAGCAGAAUUUAAAGCAGCUCAUGUGCAGACCGGAGAUGAGUGUGAACGCAAAUGUCUUCUCUCUCCUUCUGGUUUGUCAGUCAGCAGGAUAACGUGCUAACGCGCAGCCCUGUUGCUUUUAACACAUGUGGAGCGAAUGGAGGCGACCUGUGGAGGCCACUCGCUGUGAACAGCGGCGUGUGACUGCGAGCAGACAGACUCUGUUGCUGCUGUCAGGUGGAGGGUGAAUAACGUGCUAACGACUUAAACCAGCGGAGAGCGAGUGUGAGGACGAUCGGAGAGCCCGGCGAGAAUGACGUGUUUUGCAGGACAGAGGCAGCGGAGUAAGAAACCGCACAGCCGAUCUGUAUCUAGGCCACAGACUGAGAACAGCGAGGGUCCUCGGGGAGGAUAAACAUGCAACUCCACUCGCCGCACAACAACAACAGGCAGUGAAAUGGAAGCUGACAGAACACACACCUGCAGAAAAACAGUGUUAUACAACCAUGGCAAUGAAUUGGCACCAAAAUCAUUUAUUUAUUAUGUACAUGGACAUAUAAACAUGGAAAAUGAAAAUUUAUUCUAUUUACUUUUUUAAUGUAUGUUCUUGGUCUUAUUGUUAAGGUUCCAUCAGUGUUAAUUCCAAAAAAAUAAGAAUAGAAUAUUUAGUCAUUUUCUCCACCUCUGAAAUCACUUUGUUUUGGCUGAUGUUAAAGGCACAAUAUGUCAUUUUCGCCACUAGAGGUCACUUACUCAAAACAAAGGCAUAGCUUGAUGACGCCUUGAUUUGGUGGAAUCAUGGGAGGUGUUGUGUUCACGUCUACAGCUGGUGGACCCGUGCAUAAAUCAUAUUCAUGGAUGAGCUAAUGUAUUACAAGAUUCAUUAACAUUACUGUAGUAUUAAGCAAGAGCAGUGGAGCUUUUAUUAUGCCGCAGACGAGCACUUUUGCUUCUUCCGGUCAUGAGUA
Megalobrama amblycephala (Wuchang bream) is the source of this 1308-nucleotide long non-coding RNA. RefSeq lists it as uncharacterized. The transcript has 3 exons. The record is from RefSeq and is a predicted model, not a curated record. Lineage: Eukaryota; Metazoa; Chordata; Actinopteri; Cypriniformes; Xenocyprididae.